Acanthosepion pharaonis is the source of this 107-nucleotide non-coding RNA. Lineage: Eukaryota; Metazoa; Mollusca; Cephalopoda; Sepiida; Sepiidae. The record is from the annotation of a GenBank genome assembly.
UGCCCACAUCACCUUGAAACACAUCCCAUAUGAUCACUAAAGUUAAGCAACAUCAAGCCUGGUCAGUACCUAGAUGGUGACCACUUGGGAAUACCAAGUGCUGUAAG